Long non-coding RNA from Mercenaria mercenaria, 499 nucleotides. RefSeq lists it as uncharacterized. The record is from RefSeq and is a predicted model, not a curated record. NCBI's taxonomy places the organism in Eukaryota, Metazoa, Mollusca, Bivalvia, Venerida, Veneridae. The transcript has 3 exons.
AGAAACAUAUGAGGCAGAGCUAUCAGCAGUAUGCCAGAGACACAGCAAGAAGUUCACAUUGUUUUGCACAGAUUUGUGUUCCACAUGUUUGGCCUUAGUGGAAUUGUCAUAGAAGAAGGUAAGAAUACCAGAAAUCCCAGACACUACAAGCCUGCUCAGUAGCCAUAUGAAAUGAAUACAACUGAUUUGUACAGAUUUGAAGCAACAACCUGAUAGAACGUUUUACCUGUUGUGUAGACAGGAUAAGCUAGCUUGGUGAAAGGCAAAGGAGGAAAAUGACCUUAGAAAAGACAAUAUACAACAGGUACAAGAUCCAAAGGACCGGAAUGUCUGUCAUUCAGGUUAACAUCAGAGUUGGACAGCUUCUUGUAACAGGUAGUUUGAUGCACAGUGUGAUUAAAGAUAAUGGUAUAUGCUGACAUAUUUUCGCUGGGUCAAAAUUUCACAAAUUUUAAAUUUCGAGUAUGUUCGCGAGGUUUAAUAUUCACAAAAUGGUAAA